UACAGAGGUCCCAAGCGUUGUUCGGAUUCAUUGGGCGUAAAGGGUGCGUAGGCGGCGCGGUAAGUCGGGUGUGAAAUCUCGGGGCUUAACUCCGAAACUGCAUUCGAUACUGCCGUGCUUGAGGACUGGAGAGGAGACUGGAAUUUACGGUGUAGCGGUGAAAUGCGUAGAUAUCGUAAGGAAGACCAGGGGCGAAGGCGGGUCUCUGGACAGUUCCUGACGCUGAGGCACGAAGGUCAGGGGAGCAAACGGG
This 253-nucleotide ribosomal RNA is filed under the name uncultured bacterium. RNAcentral describes it as "partial 16S ribosomal RNA". It matches the Rfam family "Bacterial small subunit ribosomal RNA", at positions 524 to 776 of the family's 1533-position model. The record is from RNAcentral.